UACAGAGGGUGCGAGCGUUGUCCGGAAUCACUGGGCGUAAAGGGUGCGUAGGCGGAGCGGUAAGUCGGGUGUGAAAUCUCGGAGCUUAACUCCGAAACUGCAUUCGAUACUGCCGUGCUUGAGGACUGGAGAGGAGACUGGAAUUUACGGUGUAGCGGUGAAAUGCGUAGAUAUCGUAAGGAAGACCAGUGGCGAAGGCGGGUCUCUGGACAGUUCCUGACGCUGAGGCACGAAGGCCAGGGGAGCAAACGGG
This 253-nucleotide ribosomal RNA is filed under the name uncultured bacterium. Its description in RNAcentral is "partial 16S ribosomal RNA". It matches the Rfam family "Bacterial small subunit ribosomal RNA", at positions 524 to 776 of the family's 1533-position model. The record is from RNAcentral.